AUAAUACUCCCUCCGUCCGGAAAUACUUGUAUGAGGAAUGGAUGUAUAUAAAUGUAUUUUAGUUCUAAUACAUCCAUUUGUAUCCAUUUCUCCGACAAGUAUUUCCGGAUGAAGGGAGUAUGAU
Non-coding RNA from Triticum aestivum (bread wheat), 124 nucleotides. Lineage: Eukaryota; Viridiplantae; Streptophyta; Magnoliopsida; Poales; Poaceae. The record is from Rfam.